UACAGAGGGGGCAAGCGUUGUUCGGAAUCACUGGGCGUAAAGGGCGCGUAGGCGGUCUGGUAAGCGUGUGGUGAAAGCUCGGGGCUCAACCCCGAGUCGGCCGUGCGAACUGCUGGACUGGAGCAUGUCAGAGGCAGGCGGAAUUCCGGGUGUAGCGGUGGAAUGCGUAGAGAUCCGGAAGAACACCAGUGGCGAAGGCGGCAUCCUGGACCGGCAUUGACGCUGAGGAGCGAAAGCCAGGGGAGCAAACGGG
RNAcentral lists this ribosomal RNA (253 nucleotides) under uncultured bacterium. Its description in RNAcentral is "partial 16S ribosomal RNA". It matches the Rfam family "Bacterial small subunit ribosomal RNA", at positions 524 to 776 of the family's 1533-position model. The record is from RNAcentral.